UACGUAGGUGGCAAGCGUUAUCCGGAUUUAUUGGGUGUAAAGGGUGCGUAGACGGAGAAGCAAGUUAGUUGUGAAAUCCCUCGGCUUAACUGAGGAACUGCAACUAAAACUACUUCCCUUGAGUACUGGAGAGGAAAGUGGAAUUCCUAGUGUAGCGGUGAAAUGCGUAGAUAUUAGGAGGAACACCAGUGGCGAAGGCGACUUUCUGGACAGUAACUGACGUUGAGGCACGAAAGUGUGGGGAGCAAACAGG
This 253-nucleotide ribosomal RNA is filed under the name uncultured bacterium. Its description in RNAcentral is "partial 16S ribosomal RNA". It matches the Rfam family "Bacterial small subunit ribosomal RNA", at positions 524 to 776 of the family's 1533-position model. The record is from RNAcentral.